Molecule: non-coding RNA, 124 nt
Organism: Hordeum vulgare subsp. vulgare (domesticated barley)
Lineage: Eukaryota; Viridiplantae; Streptophyta; Magnoliopsida; Poales; Poaceae
Source: Rfam
CUUAUACUCCCUCCGUUUGGAAUUACUUGUAGCCAAAAUGAAAAGAAAUGGAUGUAUCUAGAUCUAAAUACAUCUAGAUACAUUUGUUUCUAUGACAAGUAAUUCCGGACGGAGGGAGUACUGA